GAUGAAGAACGUAGUGAAAUGCGAUACUUGGUGUGAAUUGCAGAAUCCCGUGAACCAUCGAGUCUUUGAACGCAAGUUGCGCCCGAAGCCAUCAGGCCGAGGGCACGCCUGCCUGGGCGUCACACGUCGUUGCCCCCCCAUCUACUCCUUCGGGAUUGCGGGGGGCGGAUGAUGGCCUCCCGUGCGCCUCGUCGCGCGGUUGGCAUAAAUGCCAAGUCCUCGGCGACGCACGCCACGACAAUCGGUGGUUGCGAAACCUCGGUUGCCCGUCGUGUGCGGUCGUCGCGCAUCGAGGGCUCGAAAAAAUUGUCGGGCUCCGGCUCGGCUUUCAACGCGACCCCAGGUCAGGCGGGGUUACCCGCUGAAUUUAAGCAUAUCAAUAAGCGGAGGA
Molecule: unclassified non-coding RNA, 391 nt
Filed under: soil metagenome
Description: partial contains 5.8S ribosomal RNA, internal transcribed spacer 2, and large subunit ribosomal RNA
Rfam family: 5.8S ribosomal RNA (bases 1-122)
Source: RNAcentral